Molecule: non-coding RNA, 90 nt
Filed under: Loigolactobacillus bifermentans
Lineage: Bacteria; Bacillati; Bacillota; Bacilli; Lactobacillales; Lactobacillaceae
Also listed under: 1 other name
Description: Lactobacillus bifermentans TPP sequence
Rfam family: TPP riboswitch aptamer (THI element)
About the family: Vitamin B(1) in its active form thiamin pyrophosphate (TPP) is an essential coenzyme that is synthesised by coupling of pyrimidine and thiazole moieties in bacteria.
Source: RNAcentral
UAAAUAUAUCUGGGGUGCCAUUUGGCUGAGAUCAUACUCAUCGAACCUGAUCUAAUUAGUAUUAGUGUAGGGAGAUAUUGAAUAAAAAUA